UAUCCAAGAAUAGAUUAACUGAGGUUCCUACGGAGUUGUGCCAUUUUGUGUCACUGGAAACACUAAAUCUAUACCACAAUUGUAUUAAAAUUAUACCAGAUGCCAUAGUAAACUUGCAAAUGCUAACUUACUUAAAUUUGAGUCGAAAUCAGCUAUCUUCUUUGCCGGCUUGCCUGUGUGGUCUUCCUCUAAAAGUCUUAAUUGCAAGUAACAAUAAGCUAGGUUCCCUUCCAGAAGAGAUAGGUCAGCUAAAACAGUUAAUGGAGCUGGAUGUCAGCUGUAAUGAAAUCACAGCAUUGCCACAGCAGAUAGGCCAGCUGAAAUCUUUAAAAGAACUGAAUGUCAGAAGAAAUUACCUCGAAGUUUUACCCCAAGAACUAGUACAGCUUCCCUUGGUAAAGUUCGACUUUUCCUGCAAUAAAGUGCUUGUAAUUCCAAUUUGUUUUAGAAAGAUGGUGCAGUUACAAGUAUUACUGCUUGAGAAUAAUCCUUUGCAGUCUCCACCAGCACAAAUUUGUACAAAGGGUAAGGUGCAUAUAUUCAAAUAUCUGACUGUACAGGCCUGUCAGAUUAAAACAGCAGAUUCACUGUAUCUUAAUGCCAUAGAACAACAGCAUUUGCCACAACCUGUGGAAGAGAGCAUUGAUGACAUCUACCCAAGUAAAAAGGACUCAGAUUCAGGUGUUGGUAGUGAUAAUGGAGAUAAACGUUUGUCAGCAACAGAGCCAUCUGAUGAAGAUACUGUCAGCUUUAAUGUUCCAAUGUCAGACAUCGUGGAAGAAGAUCAGGUUAUAAAGGAAGAUUCAGUUCACCAUGCUAAUUCAAGAAAAGUGGAAUUCCAUCAGGGAUCUCACUUGAUUGUCAACGAUAAGUCAAGAGAAACAGGAAACCAGUUUGAUGAAUCGGAUACCCUUACUACUGAAUUUAUGAGUUACAUUAAGAGCAGAGCAGCUGAGUGUGAUGAACUAUUGAGAAUAGAAGAGGACACACAAUGGCAAACAGACGAAAUAAUAAAUUUAUCAGAAGAACAAACUAUUGAUAUAGCAAUGAUAGAACAACUAAGAGAAGCAGUAGAUUUGUUACAGGAUCCCAACAGCACUCAAAUGCAGAUGGACAUGUCUUCCCUUGGUCAGAGAGAAAAUGCUGAAGAGGAACUAGAAUUUCAGAGAAGGAGGGAAUUGAUAAUGGAAAAAGCAAAGCCUGAAGUGAGAACUUGUGAACAGAGUGAAAAAUGGUCAUUGAGUCAGAAUGAUGUAAUUGUUUGGAAUACAAGCGGGCAAGCCUCUCACAACGAGAACAAGGAUAAAAGUCCGACAAUGUCUCCUACUACAAACACUACAAUCCCUUUUGGCCUGAAGCCACGAUCAGACCCAUCCCUCAGUCUUCCUCCUAUCUCCUUCAACACACUUACACAGGCACAAACAUGGGACAACUUUAGCUACAGUAUCCCAUCUGAAGGAGACAGUGACAAUGUGUUCUUAAGACCACAAAGAAAUUUGGAAUCCAUAGACCCCCAAUUUACAAUUCGAAGGAAAAUGGAGCAGUUGAGAGAAGAGAGAGAACUUGUGGAACAGCUCCGUGAGAACAUAGAAACAAGACUAAAGAUUUGUUUGCCUGAAGACUUGGGAUCUGCUCUGAUGGAUGGUGUGGUUCUCUGCCAUUUAGUAAAUCACGUUCGUCCUCGGUCUGUAGGAAGUAUUCAUGUACCUUCACCAGCAGUACCUAAACUUAGCAUGGCCAAAUGCAGGAGAAAUGUGGAAAACUUUCUGGAUGCAUGUAGAAAACUGGGGAUACCAGAGGCUGACCUCUGCUCUCCGUAUGACAUCCUGCAGUCGGAUAUUCAUCACAUUCGAAAGACUGUUGACUCUCUGCUCGCCCUCGGGGAGAAAACCCCACAAUCAACUUCUACCUUUCGCUCCUGGGAUCUAAUAGGCUUUUGUCUUUUCCACAUACUUUUUAUAGUCUUGAUGUAUAUAACUUAUCACUGGAAUGUGCUAACAGCAUAACCUGUUCGCAUGUGCACACAAACUUUCUGCUUUGUCUCUGACAAAUUACAGGAGAAGCUCUGCCUUCCACACCACAUCCUAGAAGAAAAGGGCUUGGUAAAAGUGAGCAUAACAGUUCAAGCGUUGCUAGACGUAACCACAGUGAAACAAGCUUUAUUCACAUGAACCUACUCUCUCUCGGCUGUUACCAGCUCCACUGUGCCAUCCAGGAAUCAAAAUACUGCCCGUCUUUUCAAACUGCUUUGGAAAAAAACACACCAAAAUCAAAAACAAACAACAAAAAAAAAAUACUUCUGAUUUUCAGAACGACGAAGCGGAAACUCCAGAGAAACUUUUUCUAGAGCGAACCGGCGCUUCACUGCUUUUAUAGCUCACUUUGUACAGUAAUUAACAAAAACAGCCACCUCUCUGCCACUUAAAACCGUGUGGAGUACCCAGCUGUCUUGCAGCAAGAUACCUUCCUAUUAUUAAACUAAGAAUCAUUGUAAUCUUUUUUUUUUUUUGGGGGGGGGGGGGGGGGAGGAGGGAGAGUAAAUCAGAUUUCCGUCACGUUAGGUUUUUCUGCAGUUGCUUCAGGCUAUUGCCUUUUAAAAAAUAUCCAGACAUAAAAUAUUUAUAUAAAUAUUAUUUAUUAGUGAGUUGUUAUUCAUCCUUUGGAUGCAAACUGUAAAUUAGGAAACUGUAUUUUAUUACUGCUUUUUUGUGGUUAAACACUUUAUUUUAAUAUAAAUAUUUAGUUAUUUUUUAUUCUCCUUGGUGUGCAGUAGGUCUAGAUCUCCGUAAAUUGUAUUUUCUAAGAUGUAAGAUAAAAAGCAAACAAAAUAGGUGCUUUUAUUAAAAGAACAGCUAGCUGGAAUGGCAUUCUUUAUUUCUUGAAUUUGUGGAACAUUGGUAAACAACAUUUAUCUGCAUUCCAUUGAGUUUCCAACAUUCCAGUAGCACUUUCUGCUCCCCCCUCCAUAGACUAAAUUGGCUGAAACUGAGAGCACACCCAUUUUAUUUGUAUAUAGAUGUUUAAAAAAAAAAAAAAAAAGAAAAAAAAGGAAAGACAUAAACUUGAAAAAUAAAUGUGAACACAUAUUUUUGAUUGCUUAUUUUACUAUGCACAAGACAUUUAACUUUUGCCACAACGAAACGAAUGAUGCGCGUUAGGAAUCAUGUGUCUUGAAAGAUAAUUUUGCACUGUAACUUGAUUUCUUCUGAAGACUACAGCACUACAGAACAAAUAAUAAAUUUAAAAAAAAAAAUAGCACAAGGCCAUCAGCGAGCAUUUACCAGGUAGCCAAAAAAAAAUUUUUUUUGAUUUUUUUUCUUCAACGAUUCCUUGCAGAGGAGAUAGAAGUUAUUAAAAUCACCAAAGGUGGUCUUGAAGACCCCAUCCUCCCGAGAGCCGCCCUCGCUUUCCUACGCAAUGAAGCACAAUGUUCUGUAGCCAACGUUUGGGGGUCAGACCUCUCAUCCCACCUCAGCAAUAUAGGAAAUAAGCUGCUUUUUUCUUAUCACUACUUUGCUUUUUUAAAGAAUUUUGGGAUUUUUUUGGUUUGUUUUUUUUUUUUUUUUUUUUUUUUUUCUAAAAGCGUAAUUUAUUAUUAAAACAUCACACGUUUUAGAUCCAGAAGUUCCACCUGGGGCCGUCCCAUUUUUUUCUUUGCCAGGAGAAGGCGGUGGUGGGCCUGGGGCAAGAGGCAGAGGAGAAGCCGCAUGUGGUGCAAGGGCUGCUGGGAGGGGUGCGCGCAGGCAGGGAGUUGGAAAUGCACAACGACGCAAAAAAAUAAGAAAUAAGAGGCAGAGUGUGGUGGGAGGAUGAAAUAUUUGAGGCGAGAGAAGGUGGAGAGGACUGUUGGGUAAGGAUUUGGGGGAAGAAUGACGCAGACUCGUCACUGCUGGGUAUCCAGGGGAAGUUACACGCACAUUCAGGCAGGCGCUGCGUUUGAGCCCACCGCUGUUCCAAUAACCAAUUACCAAUUUAGUGGCAAAUACACUAUUUGACUGCAAACUAUGCCUUUUAAUACCACCAACUGCCCCUGUGCUGGUAGGAGCAGGCGAGCGAGGCGAGGUCUCAGACCCAGAGUAUGCAGGGAACAGCCAGUUCCUUCAACCAAAGCCAAAAGCGUUUUAUUUUCUAGAGGGGAACGUCGACUUCAAAUGGUAAUUUUGAUUGGCAGCUAGCGUAUUGUUUCCUAGAAAAUGUAUACUGUGCACUUUAACACUAAAUUAAAAUGUAUUUUAAUAUUUUACAGAGCUGCACAAAUAUCUGUUUUGUCAAAAAAAAAAAAAAAAGCACGAGCAAUGUAAAGAAAAUACGUUUUCGAGUCAGAGUUUAUCAAAUUUUAAAAGCAUUCAAAGAUCGAGUAUAAAAAUAGGAAUAUUGAUUUCUGCAUCUUGAGGGAUAAAAUGCAGGUUUCCUGAGUAUUUUUUUACAAUGUAUAUAUGGCAACAUGAAGCUUUGUAAUUAUUAUUUUGACAAAUCUUGUUUUUUCAUAAUUAAACUUUUGGUUUUCUCCUGAUAGCGUCUCUUCAGUAUUUGCUUGACGUUGGCUGUAAAUAAAUAGCUCUAAAUAUUUUGUAAUACGGCUUUUUUUUUUUUUUUUAAAUGCAGUCUUAACCUGUACACCUAAAAAGAAGAAUCUUCAUGAAUCUUUGUAUACUAUUUAUAUGUGCAAUAAAACAUGCAUGGCAAAUCUAUACUACCCUCAGCAGUGAACAUAAUGUAUAUAGAAAAUCUUUACUGUAGUUACAAUUAAACUCUAUUAUUUG
RNA transcript from Calidris pugnax (ruff), 4763 nucleotides. It is a transcript of the gene named leucine-rich repeats and calponin homology (CH) domain containing 1, with no coding region annotated. Lineage: Eukaryota; Metazoa; Chordata; Aves; Charadriiformes; Scolopacidae. The record is from RefSeq and is a predicted model, not a curated record. The transcript is spliced from 20 exons.